AUAGUACUCCUUCCGUUUGUAAUUACUUGUCUCAGAAAUUAAUGUAUGUAGAACUAAAAUACGUUUAGAUACAUUCAUUUCUACGACAAGUAAUUGCAAACGGAGGGAGUACACG
Molecule: non-coding RNA, 115 nt
Organism: Triticum urartu
Lineage: Eukaryota; Viridiplantae; Streptophyta; Magnoliopsida; Poales; Poaceae
Source: Rfam